Molecule: ribosomal RNA, 659 nt
Filed under: uncultured bacterium
Lineage: Bacteria
Description: bacterial SSU rRNA
Rfam family: Bacterial small subunit ribosomal RNA
Source: RNAcentral
AGUUGGUAGGGUAAAAGCCUACCAAGGCAACGAUGGUUAGCUGGUCUGAGAGGAUGAUCAGCCACACUGGAACUGAGACACGGUCCAGACUCCUACGGGAGGCAGCAGUGAGGAAUCUUGCGCAAUGGGGGAAACCCUGACGCAGCAACGCCGCGUGAGUGAUGAAGGCCUUCGGGUCGUAAAGCUCUUUUAGUGGGGAAGAAUCCCACCCGGGCUAAUACCUCGGGUGUCUGACGGUACCCACAGAAAAAGUUCCGGCUAACUACGUGCCAGCAGCCGCGGUAAUACGUAGGGAGCAAGCGUUGUUCGGAAUUAUUGGGCGUAAAGAGCGCGUAGGCGGUUCAGUAAGUCUGACGUGAAAUCCCGGAGCUUAACUCCGGAACUGCGUUGGAUACUGCCGAGCUUGAGUGUGGGAGAGGAGAGUGGAAUUCCCAGUGUAGAGGUGAAAUUCGUAGAUAUUGGGAGGAACACCCGUGGCGAAGGCGGCUCUCUGGACCACAACUGACGCUGAGGCGCGAAAGCUAGGGUAGCAAACGGGAUUAGAUACCCCGGUAGUCCUAGCCGUAAACGAUGGGCACUAGGUGUUGGAGGUAUCGACCCCUCCAGUGCCGCAGCUAACGCAUUAAGUGCCCCGCCUGGGGAGUACGGUCGCAAGACUA